GUAUGUGCUUAAAAUUCUUAAUCUAUCCAAGACUAUUAUCAUGAAGGACCUCUCCGUUGCUCAGAGUGGGGUGUUGAAGUCUCUCACUAUUAUUAUGUGGGGUACAAUAUGUACUUUGAGUUCUAGUAAAAUUUCUUUAUGAAUUUGGUUGCCCUUGUAUUUGGAGCAUAGAUAUUCCGAAUUGUGAGUUCAUCUUUGAUGAAUUAUCCUUUGAUAAGCAUGAAGUAACUUUACUUACCUUAAAAAACAAAAAAAAAAGUAUUUUGUGAACCUCCUCUUUUCACAGUAGGCCCUCUUGACUACUGAGGCGUUUUUGUAACAGCUUUGAAGGAAUUUUAAAAGGAAAAAAAAAGAUGUAAACAAUUUCACAGUUCCAUUUACUCAUACCUAAGUGAUAUGUAUACAAAAUUCUGUACAUGAAACAUAUUUUCAUUGAUCCAGUGCUAAUUUUAUAUUAAGUCAGUUUCUUUUCUAGGAGUCUUCUGUGCUUCCUUCUUUAUAUGGCACAAUGCAAAACUGAAUUCUUUAAUGUAACCCUUAUAACUUAUUUUUAAAUUUUAUGUUAUGGUUAUUGUUUUUUUUUUUCUCCUUUCACGUGUGUAUGUGCACAACUAGUGUGUCUUGUACCUUAGGAAGCCAGAUGAAAGCAUUGAAUCCCCUGAAACUGAAGUUAUAGGUAGUGAGCCACCUUGUGGGUUUUGGUACUCCAAUCUCAGAAAUCUGGAAGGGAACCAGUGCUCUUAACUGCUGAAUCAUCUCUCCAAUCCCUUCAUUGUUUUGUUUGGUUUUGUUUUGUUUUGUUUUUUUAUGAAACGAAUUAUCUAACUGUAAGUGGAAGACAACUUACUAAACAAUGAGAGAAUGAUACUCAGAUUCUAAAGAAUCUGUUUUAAAUUAUAUGUAACUGAAUGCUAAGUGAGCUUUCUCAGAAGACAGUAACUUGUCUUUGAGAUAUGGUGUCAUUAUGUAGUUCAGGCUGGCCUGCAUUUUCCUAUUUAACCUAUGCAGUCUUUACACUGGAAAUCUCCUGCUUAAGCUUCUAAUAUUAGGAUCAUACACAAAAAAAACAUCUUACAUGGCUUACUAAACAAUGCUCCUAAUACCUAUUUUUUGGACUUAUUUAUGUGUAUUAGUGUUUUGCUUACAGUUAUAUAUGUGCACCACAUGUGUACCUGUUGCUCAGAUAUCAGUUGAUUAUUUCAGAUACCUGGAACUGGAGUCAGAUAGUUGUGAGCCACCAUAUGAGUGCUAGACACCAAACCUAUGUCCUUUGCAAAGAACAGGAAGUACUCUUAACUGCUGAGCCAUAUCUCUACCCCCAUGAAACAAUAUUAUAUUUUUAAAAAAUAAUAUUUUGCUUCUUUCAAGUUACCCAUUUUACCAGAUUUUUUUUUCAACUGAAGGAUUUGCUCUAUUUGGAGGAGGCAGAAUAAUCAUUUAAUAAUCUGAUUUUAUCUAGUACUAUAUAUGGUGAGAAUAUUAAACAUGUACACCAUAAUAUAGCUUCAUCCUAGUUACUGAAAUCUAACUGUGCAUGCUAGAAAGGUACUAAACAUUUUCUCAAGCAUUACAAUUUUCAUGAACUGCAGCAGUUACUGAUCAAAAGUUCCUACCAUAAUUUUCUUCAAGUGUUUUUUUAAAGGAUAUGUUCUGAAGUAUAAUUAACAAUUCACUUUAGAAAUAAUUUUAUUUUGAUUAAAAAACUUGGAGAUCUUUGUUUUAAACAUAGAUUUUAACAUUUUUAUCUAUUUUUAUUUAUAUAGGUAUUUUGCCUAUAAGUAUGUCUGUGAGUCAUAUACAUAUGUACCUGGUGCAUGCAGAAUUUAGAACAGGGCUCCAGAACUCCAGUUCCAGUAUCACAUCCCCUGGAACUGGAGUUGGAGAUAUUUGUGCACAUUAUGUAGGUGCUAGGAAUCAGACGCAGGUUUGAUUCUGACAGGGUCUCAUUUGUAGCUCUGACUGUCAUGGAACUCAGUAUGUUGACCAGGUUAGCCUGGAACACACAAAUAUCUCUCUGCCUUUUCCUCUAGAAUACUAGAAUUAACAUGGGAACCAAUAUGCCCGGCUGCCCUCUUAUUUUAAUUGAAUAUUUUAAACAAUGGGUCUAACAGUUCCACAGUCAAGUUUGUUCUUUCAGUUGCAUCAUCUUUUUUAGAUUUGGAAAAGAAUUAGCCUUUAUUAAAAGUGUUUCCCUAUGAAGAAUUAAGCAUACUUUUGAUCCUUUGUUUUGUGCAUUUGUUCGUUUGAAAACUGUUCUUGAAGCUCAAAAUUAUUUUCCUUACAAAAAUUAAAAUUCAGAUAAGAUUAGAUAUUUCUUAUCCAAAAUACAUUGACUGUUUUUUUUCUAUGUUGUGGAACAUUUCUGUAGACUUUACAGGUUGAACAUCCUUCAUCUGAACAUACCAAACCCUAAGUAUUCUAAAGUAUGAAGCAUGUUUGUGAUAUCUAUCAUUUAAUUUUAAGUUUCCAUAGCAUUAUUGAAAGAAAUUUAUCUAUAUCUAUUUUACUUGUAGACAUGGAAUCACCUAAUUUUUCUUCAAAAUGACCCUUUAUUUUUAAUAUAGAUGACAUUUAUAAGACGCUUCACAUAAAGAGAAAAUGGAUGGAAACUUAUGUCAAAGAAUCUUUCAAAGGCAGGAACCAGAAAUUAGAAAGAUUUUGCAAAAUGAACGAACGAGAGAGGAAGAACAUCAACAACAAAUUUUGUGAGCAGUAUAUAACUACAUUUCAGAAGUCUUAUAUGGAUGUACAGAAAUUCAAUGAGGAAAAAGAAAAAUCAGUGAAUAGUUGUCAAAAAGAACAACAAGCAUUGAAACUGUCCAAAUGUAGUCAGAACCAGACCCUGGAAGCAGGUUUUGAUGAACUUGGGGACCAAGAACUAAGAUAUGCUUUUUGGUGUAGAUGGUGAACUGAGAAAAAAAAAUGUCUAUGUUUAAAAGAGCCAACAUGGAGAAUAAUCUGAAGUACUCGUUUACUUUCCCAUCUUCAGAAAAAUGAAGCAUGAAAAAUUUUCACUUGCUAGUUAUAUAUAUAUAUAU
Molecule: long non-coding RNA, 3038 nt
Filed under: Mus musculus (house mouse)
Lineage: Eukaryota; Metazoa; Chordata; Mammalia; Rodentia; Muridae
Description: predicted gene, 21679
Source: RNAcentral